Molecule: ribosomal RNA, 496 nt
Filed under: uncultured bacterium
Lineage: Bacteria
Description: partial 16S ribosomal RNA
Rfam family: Bacterial small subunit ribosomal RNA
Source: RNAcentral
AUGAACGCUGGCGGCGUGCCUAAUACAUGCACGUCGAGCGAACAGACGAGGAGCUUGCUCCUCUGACGUUAGCGGCGGACGGGUGAGUAACACGUGGAUAACCUACCUAUAAGACUGGGAUAACUUCGGGAAACCGGAGCUAAUACCGGAUAAUAUAUUGAACCGCAUGGUUCAAUAGUGAAAGACGGUUUUGCUGUCACUUAUAGAUGGAUCCGCGCCGCAUUAGCUAGUUGGUAAGGUAACGGCUUACCAAGGCAACGAUGCGUAGCCGACCUGAGAGGGUGAUCGGCCACACUGGAACUGAGACACGGUCCAGACUCCUACGGGAGGCAGCAGUAGGGAAUCUUCCGCAAUGGGCGAAAGCUUGACGGAGCAACGCCGCGUGAGUGACGAAGGUCUUCGGAUCGUAAAACUCUGUUAUUAGGGAAGAACAAAUGUGUAAGUAACUAUGCACGUCUUGACGGUACCUAAUCAGAAAGCCACGGCUAACUACGUG